UUUCUAUUUUAUCCCAUUACACAAUCUUGAUUGAAUGUCGAAUCCAUUGAAGAUGAAAUACAUUAUUGUCAUUGACCAAUCAAAACAUGAUACGUGACCGUCAUUAUCC
This 109-nucleotide microRNA precursor is filed under the name Glycine max (soybean). Its description in RNAcentral is "MIR1520 microRNA precursor family". It matches the Rfam family "MIR1520 microRNA precursor family". The record is from Rfam by way of RNAcentral. Lineage: Eukaryota; Viridiplantae; Streptophyta; Magnoliopsida; Fabales; Fabaceae.